AACGAACGCUGGCGGCAUGCCUAACACAUGCAAGUCGAACGGGAUCCUAGCUUGCUAGGUGAGAGUGGCGGACGGGUGAGUAACACGUGGGAAUCUGCCUUUUGGUUCGGGAUAACCGCGGGAAACUGCGGACUAAUACCGAAUGCCCUCGAGAGAGGAAAGAUUUAUCGCCAGAAGAGGAGCCCGCGUCCGAUUAGGUAGUUGGUGGGGUAAAGCCUACCAAGCCGACGAUCGGUAGCUGGUCUGAGAGGAUGAUCAGCCACACUGGACUGAGAUACGGCCCAGACUCUACGGGAGGCAGCAGUGGGGAAUAUUGGACAAU
This 322-nucleotide ribosomal RNA is filed under the name uncultured bacterium. RNAcentral describes it as "bacterial SSU rRNA". It matches the Rfam family "Bacterial small subunit ribosomal RNA", at positions 29 to 372 of the family's 1533-position model. The record is from RNAcentral.